GAUGAACGCUGGCGGCGUGCCUAAUACAUGCAAGUCGAGCGAACAGACGAGGAGCUUGCUCCUCUGACGUUAGCGGCGGACGGGUGAGUAACACGUGGAUAACCUACCUAUAAGACUGGGAUAACUUCGGGAAACCGGAGCUAAUACCGGAUAAUAUAUUGAACCGCAUGGUUCAAUAGUGAAAGACGGUUUUGCUGUCACUUAUGAUGGAUCCGCGCCGCAUUAGCUAGUUGGUAAGGUAACGGCUUACCAAGGCAACGAUGCGUAGCCGACCUGAGAGGGUGAUCGGCCACACUGGAACUGAGACACGGUCCAGACUCCUACGGGAGGCAGCAGUAGGGAAUCUUCCGCAAAGGGCGAAAGCCUGACGGAGCAACGCCGCGUGAGUGAUGAAGGUCUUCGGAUCGUAAAACUCUGUUAUUAGGGAAGAACAAAUGUGUAAGUAACUAUGCACGUCUUGACGGUACCUAAUCAGAAAGCCACGGCUAACUACGUG
Molecule: ribosomal RNA, 496 nt
Filed under: uncultured bacterium
Lineage: Bacteria
Description: partial 16S ribosomal RNA
Rfam family: Bacterial small subunit ribosomal RNA
Source: RNAcentral